UUGGAGGGCAAGUCUGGUGCCAGCAGCCGCGGUAAUUCCAGCUCCAAUAGCGUAUAUUAAAGUUGUUGCAGUUAAAAAGCUCGUAGUUGAAUUUCGGGAUCGACGGGUCGGUCGCGCCUCUGGUGUGUACUGGCCCUGUCGGUUUCUCCCUUCUGACGAACCACGAUGUCAUUAAUUUGGUGUCGUGGGGAAUCAGGACUGUUACUUUGAAAAAUUUAGAGUGUUUAAAGCAAGCAUUCGCUUGAAUACAUUAGCAUGGAAUAAUGAAAUAGGACGUUUGAUCUUAUUUUGUUGGUUUCUAAGAUCGACGUAAUGAUUAAUAGGGAUAGUUGGGGGCAUUAGUAUUCAAUUGUCAGAGGUGAAAUUCUUGGAUUUAUUGAAGACUAACUACCGCGAAAGCAUUUGCCAAGGAUGUUUUCAUUAAUCAAGAACGAAAGUUAGGGGAUCGAAGACGAUCAGAUACCGUCGUAGUCUUAACCAUAAACUAUGCCGACUAAGGGAUCCGAAUGAUGGUAAAUUUUUAAUGGACUCCAUUCGGCGCCUUACGGGAAAC
RNAcentral lists this ribosomal RNA (553 nucleotides) under uncultured fungus. RNAcentral describes it as "SSU rRNA". It matches the Rfam family "Eukaryotic small subunit ribosomal RNA", at positions 548 to 1098 of the family's 1831-position model. The record is from RNAcentral. Lineage: Eukaryota; Fungi.